Pangasius djambal is the source of this 72-nucleotide non-coding RNA. The record is from the annotation of a GenBank genome assembly. Lineage: Eukaryota; Metazoa; Chordata; Actinopteri; Siluriformes; Pangasiidae.
UCGCUGGAGGACUAACGCUUAGGCCAAAGCGCUCUUACUGCCGUGGCCGGGGUUCGAUUCCCGGCCAGGGAA